AACACGUGGGUGAUCUGCCCUGCACUUCGGGAUAAGCCUGGAAACUGGGUCUAAUACCGGAUAGGACUCCUGGCUUCAUGGUUGGGGUGUAAAGCUUUUGCGGUGUGGGAUGGGCCCGCGGCCUAUCAGCUUGUUGGUAGGGUAAUGGCCUACCAAGGCGACGACGGGUAGCCGGCCUGAGAGGGUGAACCGGCCACACUGGGACUGAGAUUACGGCCCAGACUCCUACGGGAGGCAGCAUGGGGAAUAUUGCACAAUGGCGCAAGCCUGAUGCAGCGACGCCGCGUGAGGGAUGACGGCCUUCGGGUUGUAAACCUCUUUCAAUAGGGACGAAGCGCAAGUGACGGUACCUAUAGAAGAAGGACCGGCCAACUACGUG
Molecule: ribosomal RNA, 379 nt
Filed under: uncultured bacterium
Lineage: Bacteria
Description: bacterial SSU rRNA
Rfam family: Bacterial small subunit ribosomal RNA
Source: RNAcentral